Non-coding RNA from Procambarus clarkii (red swamp crayfish), 1492 nucleotides. The record is from RefSeq and is a predicted model, not a curated record. NCBI's taxonomy places the organism in Eukaryota, Metazoa, Arthropoda, Malacostraca, Decapoda, Cambaridae.
GUAGACGGGAGUGCCUGCGGGUGCCACAGCCUUGUUGUGUUGUCUCGCCUGAUACAUAACGGUCAGGGCCAUACUGACAGUUCACGAUGGACAAGUGAUCAGUAACAAGUCGGUGAUCAGGGGAAUGGUCAAUGCAGACUCAACAGCAUCUCGUCAUUAGAAGACAGCAGAACACACCACACCCUGGCGUGAUAAAUAACAGCCCCAGUCAGCUCCAGCGACUACACCUAACAGUGUGACCAGAUCGACACUAAGAAGGGCCGGGAACCUCCUCGCAUCCUGACACCCCACGAACAGGUGACUUGCCAUGAAGAUAAAUUUGGGAUUGGAAGUGAUGUAUUAUCCUCAUCCCAUCACACAACUGGUUCACUUCCAAGGGCAUAGGAUUCAACAGCAAACGAGGUCUGGUAAUUAAGUGGGUCUUCCUCGUGAGUGACUAUAUCAGAGUGUUGAAGAUAUAUGCAGUUUUGUUAACGACCGUAAAGUGUACAAUGCUCAACGAUUAAGUUAACGCAAAAUCCGCACACCUCCCCCCCUCCCACCCGAAAAAAAACCUCCAGUGAGCACAGGUUACUCUCUGCAAAGCAGAAUAUGUAUGAUAUAUAUCCAAAACAAAAAGUGAUAUCUUAUCAACAGCAAUAUCAACGUUAUCUGAUAUCAACAGCGUGGAACUAACGAAAAAAGUGAUUAUUAUUUAUAAUUAAGUGAACAACAGCCCCCCAGGUGGAAAAUGUACACCAAGCCGGUCUCAGAAUCCUUAACCCCAAGUCGAGGAGAAUGCAAGUUCAUAAUUCCUCGAGAAAGGACCAUAAUCGUCCGCCUCCAUCUUCUUAUGUUGUUUCUCUCCGUCGUGGCGGGACUCUCCUACAUGUCCUACCUAGUGCUUCUGCUGAUAAGGGAACACUGGACACCGUGGGUGCUGCUCUACCCUGUGGCCUUCACUGUCUUUAUGGCUCUCGGCAUCUGCUGCGUCAACACCUUGCAGCAACUGAUCACGCCAGCCUCACCUGAGGACUCGGUCGAGGAAGAAUCUAAACUUCUGCAACAUGUCUGACUUAUUCAAAACACAUUAAAUUUACAUAUAUGCCAAAAGCAGUAUAAUGCCUCCUAAAGACGCCUAUUGUAUCAUACAAGAGGAUAAUUUUUGUAUUUAAAUUGUAUACAACUAAAACAGGUUAAAUAUUUGCUGGUCUGAAGACUUACGAAAAGGAGUUUGAGAGGCGAAUGAAUGUGCUGCUGGAGGUUAAUGUAUCAUUGUAUGAAUAUCGACAAUGUAGUCAACUACUGUAAGGUAAAAAUACGGGUCAUGUGAUCAGCAGUUGUUUGCCUAAACGCUAACUCUUCUUCAGUAACGGGCGGGUCGGUCGAGCGUCUGUCUCGCGCAAUGCAGGUCGGUGUUCAAUUGUAACGUAUCAGAAAAUGAGGGAAAGAAAUGAAGAAACUGACAGGGUGAGGGAGGUAGAGAGGUGGAAAGGGUAUGUGAGGAAAAGUG